AUACGAACUGUGCAAACGUUAUUCGGAAUCACUGGGCUUAAAGGGUGCGUAGGCGGACUUGAAGGUCCGAUGUGAAAUCCCACGGCUCAACCGUGGAAUUGCGUCGGAAACCACAAGUCUUGAGGGAGUCAGAGGUAAGCGGAACUGAUGGUGGAGCGGUGAAAUGCGUUGAUAUCAUCAGGAACACCGGUGGCGAAAGCGGCUUACUGGGACUUUUCUGACGCUGAGGCACGAAAGCUAGGGGAGCGAACGGGAUUAGAAACCCCAGUAGUCC
RNAcentral lists this ribosomal RNA (274 nucleotides) under uncultured bacterium. RNAcentral's name for it is "partial 16S ribosomal RNA". It matches the Rfam family "Bacterial small subunit ribosomal RNA", at positions 523 to 796 of the family's 1533-position model. The record is from RNAcentral.